Non-coding RNA from Hypoxylon sp. FL0890, 71 nucleotides. Lineage: Eukaryota; Fungi; Ascomycota; Sordariomycetes; Xylariales; Hypoxylaceae. The record is from the annotation of a GenBank genome assembly.
GGCAAUAUGGUCAAGUGGUUAGAUGCGCCUGCAACCUUGCAAGGUCGUGGGUUCGAGCCCCACUGGUGCGC